GCAUUGGCAGCUCCUGGGUCACAGGUCACCCCACAGGGCUCCCAGAGAUCCCUAGGGUCAGGAGCUGGGUUCACCUGGGUAGCCUGGAGGGUGGCAGUGUGGGCCUUGGGUAACAGCUGCCCAGCGCCUGGAUACCUGUGCCAUGUACCCCCAGGCCGGGCCACCCACCUGCAGACCUCAUCCGCCAACGGGAGAUGAAGUGGGUGGAGAUGACCUCACACUGGGAGAAAACCAUGUCCCGGCGGUACAAGAAGGUAAAGAUGCAGUGCCGGAAAGGCAUCCCGUCUGCUUUGCGCGCCCGGUGCUGGCCCCUGUUGUGUGGGGCUCAUGUGUGCCAGAAGAACAGCCCUGGCACCUAUCAGGAGCUGGCAGAGGCCCCUGGAGACCCACAGUGGAUGGAGACCAUUGGCAGGGACCUGCAUCGUCAGUUUCCUCUGCAUGAGAUGUUUGUGUCACCUCAGGGCCACGGGCAGCAGGGGCUCCUGCAGGUGCUCAAGGCCUACACCCUGUAUCGACCGGAGCAGGGCUACUGCCAGGCCCAGGGGCCCGUGGCUGCUGUGCUGCUCAUGCACCUGCCCCCAGAGGAAGCCUUCUGGUGCCUGGUGCAGAUCUGUGAGGU
Molecule: small RNA, 619 nt
Filed under: Pongo abelii (Sumatran orangutan)
Lineage: Eukaryota; Metazoa; Chordata; Mammalia; Primates; Hominidae
Description: retained intron
Source: RNAcentral